This is a long non-coding RNA of Lampris incognitus (smalleye Pacific opah), 449 nucleotides long. RefSeq lists it as uncharacterized. Lineage: Eukaryota; Metazoa; Chordata; Actinopteri; Lampriformes; Lampridae. The transcript has 3 exons. The record is from RefSeq and is a predicted model, not a curated record.
CAGGUUUGCAGUAGUCUCUUGAAACACUAUCAAGCUGCCAGUGAUGGAGCUGUCUGAUAGAGCUAGGAGCUGAGGAUGAGAGAGAGAGAGACCUCUGAUGAAAACCCAGUGACAGUGGCUCUAAUCACAGAUCCCAUCAGUGUUGCAGAGGAUGAGCAGAGGGAGUGUUCCAUUCGCUCCCUAAGCUCCCCAUCACCCCGCCUCCCCCUCCUUCUUUUUAGUGAUUUGCUCAGUGAAAUCACUCAGUGGGGAGAAGUGUUGGCUCAAAAGCGAGUAAAAGGAGUGGAUGGGUUUCUGGUCAACCAAAGACCCCAACGUCACAACUCCCUGGCUCUUAAUCAGACGUGAAACACGUGUCUUCAACAGAACAGGUUUUCAGAAUGUGGCACCUUGCUCUCCAGUGUCCGCACAGAGAUCACUGUCUGCUCCUCAUCCACCUUAGCUUUCCA